AAGGAAUGGAACGGGGUGAGUAGUGUCCGGGCGGUCGACGGCAGCGAAAUCCGUUGCAGAGGCAGCAGCAAGGUAGAGAUAGUGGUGCGCGGCGCGACGCUAAGGCUGCAGGCAAUUGUGGCCGAACGCGUGAUAGAUGGAGUUGAUGUGGUGAUGGGGAUGGACGCCAUCAACUGCCUCGGUGGCGUCAGUGUUGUGGGAAAUGAGGUCACGUUCGGAAGCGUGGGGGCGUCGUGCACUGCGAGUCAGGAUCGCCAGAGAGAGCAGAGCCCCACGAGGGACUGCGCCGCUUACACCAUCGAGGACAAAGACUUUCAGGCGGCGUUCGAUGGUCAGCGGUGGACGAUAGAGUGGCGAUGGAAGGACGAGCCCCCGACGCUGGAGAACAGGGUGAGCUGUUACCAGCAUACCCUGAAAGGCCACGCCAGGGUCGAGUUUGAAGACGAGGUGGAGAGAUGGAUCAGGGAAGAAGUCC
Octopus sinensis (East Asian common octopus) is the source of this 475-nucleotide long non-coding RNA. RefSeq lists it as uncharacterized. The record is from RefSeq and is a predicted model, not a curated record. The transcript has 3 exons. Lineage: Eukaryota; Metazoa; Mollusca; Cephalopoda; Octopoda; Octopodidae.